UGGGGAAUCUUGCACAAUGGAGGAAACUCUGAUGCAGCGAUGCCGCGUGAGUGAAGAAGGCCCUUGGGUUGUAAAGCUCUUUCGUCGGGGAAGAAAAUGACUGUACCCGAAUAAGAAGGUCCGGCUAACUUCGUGCCAGCAGCCGCGGUAAUACGAAGGGACCUAGCGUAGUUCGGAAUUACUGGGCUUAAAGAGUUCGUAGGUGGUUGAAAAAGUUAGUGGUGAAAUCCCAGAGCUUAACUCUGGAACUGCCAUUAAAACUUUUCAGCUAGAGUAUGAUAGAGGAAAGCAGAAUUUCUAGUGUAGAGGUGAAAUUCGUAGAUAUUAGAAAGAAUACCAAUUGCGAAGGCAGCUUUCUGGAUCAUUACUGACACUGAGGAACGAAAGCAUGGGUAGCGAAGAGGAUUAGAUACCCUCGUAGUCCAUGCCGUAAACGAUGUGUGUUAGACGUUGGAAAUUUAUUUUCAGUGUCGCAGGGAAACCGAUAAACACACCGCCUGGGGAGUACGACCGCAAGGUUA
RNAcentral lists this ribosomal RNA (521 nucleotides) under uncultured Alphaproteobacteria bacterium. RNAcentral describes it as "bacterial SSU rRNA". It matches the Rfam family "Bacterial small subunit ribosomal RNA", at positions 355 to 896 of the family's 1533-position model. The record is from RNAcentral. Lineage: Bacteria; Pseudomonadati; Pseudomonadota; Alphaproteobacteria.